Molecule: long non-coding RNA, 268 nt
Filed under: Gallus gallus (chicken)
Lineage: Eukaryota; Metazoa; Chordata; Aves; Galliformes; Phasianidae
Source: RNAcentral
GUUGCCUUCUACAUUCCUCUGCUGACAGUGAAGAGGUCAUGCUAAAUCAAACUGACGGAGAAACUGGACAUCAGCUUAGCCAGGAUGCCCAAAUUAAUACUACUGAAACAAAAGGUGCAUAAGAACCAAGUUGGAGAAAAACUGGCUUUGGAAACACUAGCAGAGUAAGACAAUAUCUUUUCCUUUCAUGUCUUGUCCUUCAUGGAAUAAUGUCAACCACUUACAGAAGUGUCUGGUAAUUCUUGUUGACUGUAUCAGGACAGAUCUC